Molecule: non-coding RNA, 22 nt
Filed under: Arabidopsis thaliana (thale cress)
Lineage: Eukaryota; Viridiplantae; Streptophyta; Magnoliopsida; Brassicales; Brassicaceae
Source: RNAcentral
CCUAUUAGCUCAGUUGGUUAGA